RNAcentral lists this ribosomal RNA (1042 nucleotides) under Enterococcus faecium. Its description in RNAcentral is "bacterial SSU rRNA". It matches the Rfam family "Bacterial small subunit ribosomal RNA", at positions 183 to 1211 of the family's 1533-position model. The record is from RNAcentral. Lineage: Bacteria; Bacillati; Bacillota; Bacilli; Lactobacillales; Enterococcaceae.
AAACCGCAUGGUUUUGAUUUGAAAGGCGCUUUCGGGUGUCGCUGAUGGAUGGACCCGCGGUGCAUUAGCUAGUUGGUGAGGUAACGGCUCACCAAGGCCACGAUGCAUAGCCGACCUGAGAGGGUGAUCGGCCACAUUGGGACUGAGACACGGCCCAAACUCCUACGGGAGGCAGCAGUAGGGAAUCUUCGGCAAUGGACGAAAGUCUGACCGAGCAACGCCGCGUGAGUGAAGAAGGUUUUCGGAUCGUAAAACUCUGUUGUUAGAGAAGAACAAGGAUGAGAGUAACUGUUCAUCCCUUGACGGUAUCUAACCAGAAAGCCACGGCUAACUACGUGCCAGCAGCCGCGGUAAUACGUAGGUGGCAAGCGUUGUCCGGAUUUAUUGGGCGUAAAGCGAGCGCAGGCGGUUUCUUAAGUCUGAUGUGAAAGCCCCCGGCUCAACCGGGGAGGGUCAUUGGAAACUGGGAGACUUGAGUGCAGAAGAGGAGAGUGGAAUUCCAUGUGUAGCGGUGAAAUGCGUAGAUAUAUGGAGGAACACCAGUGGCGAAGGCGGCUCUCUGGUCUGUAACUGACGCUGAGGCUCGAAAGCGUGGGGAGCAAACAGGAUUAGAUACCCUGGUAGUCCACGCCGUAAACGAUGAGUGCUAAGUGUUGGAGGGUUUCCGCCCUUCAGUGCUGCAGCUAACGCAUUAAGCACUCCGCCUGGGGAGUACGACCGCAAGGUUGAAACUCAAAGGAAUUGACGGGGGCCCGCACAAGCGGUGGAGCAUGUGGUUUAAUUCGAAGCAACGCGAAGAACCUUACCAGGUCUUGACAUCCUUUGACCACUCUAGAGAUAGAGCUUCCCCUUCGGGGGCAAAGUGACAGGUGGUGCAUGGUUGUCGUCAGCUCGUGUCGUGAGAUGUUGGGUUAAGUCCCGCAACGAGCGCAACCCUUAUUGUUAGUUGCCAUCAUUCAGUUGGGCACUCUAGCAAGACUGCCGGUGACAAACCGGAGGAAGGUGGGGAUGACGUCAAAUCAUCAUGCCCCUUAUUGAACUG